This 440-nucleotide ribosomal RNA is filed under the name uncultured bacterium. Its description in RNAcentral is "partial 16S ribosomal RNA". It matches the Rfam family "Bacterial small subunit ribosomal RNA", at positions 338 to 795 of the family's 1533-position model. The record is from RNAcentral.
CCUACGGGUGGCAGCAGUGAGGAAUAUUGGGCAAUGGCGGAGACUCUGAACCAGCAACGCCGCGUGAAUGAUGAAGGUCUUCGGAUUGUUAAAUUCUUUUCUACGGGGAGCAAAUGCCGGUACCUGACUCCGAAGCCCCGGCGCACUACGUGCCAGCAGCCGCGGUAAUACGUCGGGGGCAGGCGUUAUCCGGAUUUACUGGGUGUAAAGGGAGCGUAGACGGUUAAUCAAGUCAGAAGGGAAAACCCAGGGCGCAACCUUGGGACUGCGUUUGAAACUGCGUAGCUAGAGUGCAGGAGAGGUAAGCGGAAUGCGUGGUGUAGCGGUGAAAUGCGUAGAUAGCAGGAGGAACACCAGGUGCGAAGGCGGCUUACUGGAGUGUAACUGACGUUGAGGCUCGAAAGCGUGGGUAGCAAACAGGAUUAGAUACCCCAGUAGUC